AAGAGCGGCCAUAGUGGCCUGGUCCCACCUGUUCCCAUUCCGAACACAGAAGUGAAAUAGGUCGACGUUCCGUUGCUGUACUGUUCUUUGAACGGGAAACUCGGUUCGCUGCUCACC
Molecule: ribosomal RNA, 117 nt
Filed under: archaeon
Lineage: Archaea
Source: RNAcentral